This 322-nucleotide ribosomal RNA is filed under the name uncultured eukaryote. Its description in RNAcentral is "partial 18S ribosomal RNA". It matches the Rfam family "Eukaryotic small subunit ribosomal RNA", at positions 1470 to 1796 of the family's 1831-position model. The record is from RNAcentral.
CCCUUAGAUGUUCUGGGCCGCACGCGUGCUACACUGAGUGGAUCAGCGGGUCAGGUUGCGCGAAAGUGUUUCCUAAUCUUGAAAUCCGCUCGUGAUGGGGAUUGACGGUUGCAAUUUUCCGUCAUGGACGAGGAAUACCUUGUAAGCGCGGGUCAUCAUCCCGCGCUGAAUACGUCCCUGCCCUUUGUACACACCGCCCGUCGCUCCUACCGAUUGAGUGGUCCGGUGAGGCUUUGGGAUCUGGGCGGAAAGAGCGUUUCGCUGUUUCUGCCCGGAAAACUCAGUCGAACCUUAUCAUUUAGAGGAAGGAGAAGUCGUAACA